RNAcentral lists this ribosomal RNA (118 nucleotides) under Petromyzon marinus (sea lamprey). Lineage: Eukaryota; Metazoa; Chordata; Hyperoartia; Petromyzontiformes; Petromyzontidae. The record is from RNAcentral.
GCCUGUAACCAAAUCACCCGAAGUAUGCCUGGUCUUGUCAGAUCUCGGAAGCUCAGCAGAUUUGGGCCUGGAUAGUGCUUGGAUGGAUGGCCACAGCGUAUAAUAGGCGUUAUAGGCU